RNAcentral lists this ribosomal RNA (305 nucleotides) under uncultured bacterium. Its description in RNAcentral is "bacterial SSU rRNA". It matches the Rfam family "Bacterial small subunit ribosomal RNA", at positions 338 to 658 of the family's 1533-position model. The record is from RNAcentral.
CCUACGGGAGGCAGCAGUGGGGGAUAUUGCACAAUGGGGGAAACCCUGAUGCAGCGACGCCGCGUGGGCGAAGAAGUAUUUCGGUAUGUAAAGCCCUAUCAGCAGGGAAGAAGAAAUGACGGUACCUGAGUAAGAAGCACCGGCUAAAUACGUGCCAGCAGCCGCGGUAAUACGUAUGGUGCAAGCGUUGUCCGGAUUUACUGGGUGUAAAGGGCGUGCAGCCGGGCUGACAAGUCAGAUGUGAAAUCCCGCGGCUCAACCGCGGAACUGCAUUUGAAACUGUCAGUCUUGAGUACCGGAGAGGU